RNAcentral lists this ribosomal RNA (327 nucleotides) under uncultured eukaryote. Its description in RNAcentral is "partial 18S ribosomal RNA". It matches the Rfam family "Eukaryotic small subunit ribosomal RNA", at positions 1470 to 1796 of the family's 1831-position model. The record is from RNAcentral.
CCCUUAGAUGUUCUGGGCCGCACGCGCGCUACACUGACGAAUGCAACGAGCUUAUAACCUUGGCCGAAAGGUCUGGGUAAUCUCCAAAUUUCGUCGUGAUGGGGAUAGAUUAUUGCAAUUAUUAAUCUUCAACGAGGAAUGCCUAGUAAGCGCAAGUCAUCAGCUUGCGUUGAUUACGUCCCUGCCCUUUGUACACACCGCCCGUCGCUCCUACCGAUUGAAUGGUCCGGUGAAGCGUUCGGACCGUGGCCUUUGGACGGUUCGCCGUCUGUUGGCUGCCGGAAGUUCGUUAAACCUUAUCAUUUAGAGGAAGGAGAAGUCGUAACA